GCAAAAUAAAGAAGCAUUGAAAUUUUAAUCUUACUUUUGCAGAUAUACUAGCCAACAAAAAGGCCAUGAAAAGCGUCCUUUUAAGCAAGAUAAACUAUAGGGUGUUUGGUUUUCUUUAAUAAAAGGAAAAAGGUUGACUGAUGCUUUCAUACAUGUUAAGACUUGGGGAUGGAUAAAUUGUGUGGUUGAUUCAUAAUGACAUCAAUUACACUUAUGGUACUGCAAUAAUUCACUCCUUUAUUAUUAUUUAUGAGGUGAUUUUAGGGUUUUAAAAAUGUUUUAUGUUUAUUGAUGUGUUUGGUUAACACACGCUUAAACGACAUGGUCAGGUGCUUUGCAGGAUGCUGGAGGAUGGCAAAAUCAAUACAUUCUGCACCCGAGAACAAUCUGCUAUGUUUUGUAGUGCAAAGUAAUUCCUUGAGCAACAUCCCAGGAGUCUCAGAGAUAAUUGCAAUUCCACACAGUCAACAGUCUGUUCAGAUCCAUAUUAUCACUGUCUUUAGCAGCUUUAUAUUUGUUUGUGAUCUUUGGCUUUAAUCUCUCCCCCCUCUCCAUCCCUCCCAACCCUACCUCAUGAUCCCAAUUGGCUCUUGUUCCAUUUAGUAAAUUUCAGGAAUGUGGAAGACCAAUCCAGAGGAAGGGAAGAAAGGAAUUCCUUAUGCAAACGUUUCAUGCAAACUCUUGGAACAAGGCAAUCCAAUAUGUGCCUGUUUGGAAGUUAGCCCCCUAAUGUGUACUGAAGAAGUUACUCAAAGCAAUGGAAGCAAUGUGACUGCUAGGCACCUUGUUCAACCUGAAUUUCAUCUAAAAAUUCACUGUGAGGCUGAUCAAGAAAGACGUUUUCUUUUGUUCCUUUGGCCAUUAGACUGACCAUGCAAGGAGAUGGAUCGACAGUUUUAUUUGCUCUGAUCCAAUUUGGCAAUCACCCUUCAGGUCUGGCACCAUCCACGCAGGAUGGAUGAAAACACAUGGGGGAAAGAGAACAUUUACCACCCUAUGGUUUGUUCUGGGAGGAAUUUAUUGCAACCUAAAAAAUCGAGACUGACUGCAACCUCCCAGAGGACCUUUUCCGUCGCCGCUCCUAGAUUGUGGAAUGCCCUGCCGGAGGAGAUCUGUCAAAUGACCAGCUUAGACGGCUUCAAAACAGUUGUCAACAUGGAUCUCUCCCAGCAGGCCUUUCCAGAUAGAUACCUCAGCCAAAUAAAGACAAAAUGAACCCACUUCCCAUCAUGGAUAGUGCAUCACUCAGCCUCUUUGCUUAUUAUUGUGAUUACUUUGUUUUUAUCUGUUUUUAAUUGACUAAUUUUAAUCAUACUAUGUUUAAUUCUUGUGUAUUGGACAGACUUUUAGAUGUAAGCCACUUUGAUUGCUUGACAACAGAAAAGUGGGAUGUAAAUAAAGUUUUAUUUAUUUUUAUUUUUUA
Long non-coding RNA from Sceloporus undulatus (fence lizard), 1423 nucleotides. RefSeq lists it as uncharacterized. The transcript is spliced from 2 exons. Lineage: Eukaryota; Metazoa; Chordata; Lepidosauria; Squamata; Phrynosomatidae. The record is from RefSeq and is a predicted model, not a curated record.